This 29-nucleotide non-coding RNA is filed under the name Homo sapiens (human). The record is from RNAcentral. Lineage: Eukaryota; Metazoa; Chordata; Mammalia; Primates; Hominidae.
AUGUGUAAAACAGUUAAGAAUGUAGCCAC